Molecule: ribosomal RNA, 169 nt
Filed under: uncultured eukaryote
Lineage: Eukaryota
Description: partial small subunit ribosomal RNA
Rfam family: Eukaryotic small subunit ribosomal RNA
Source: RNAcentral
GUACACACCGCCCGUCGCUGCUACCGAUUGAAUGGUUUAGCAAGCUCCAGGGAUCGGCGGCCGCGGUUGAGAAAUCUUCUGCAGUUGCUGAGAACUGGCGCAAACUUGACCAUUUAGAGGAAGCAAAAGUCGUAACAAGGUUUCUGUAGGUGAACCUGCAGAAGGAUCA